GACGAACGCUGGCGGCGUGCUUAACACAUGCAAGUCGAACGGAAAGGCCCUGCUUUUGUGGGGUGCUCGAGUGGCGAACGGGUGAGUAACACGUGAGUAACCUGCCCUUGACUUUGGGAUAACUUCAGGAAACUGGGGCUAAUACCGGAUAGGAGCUCCUGCUGCAUGGUGGGGGUUGGAAAGUUUCGGCGGUUGGGGAUGGACUCGCGGCUUAUCAGCUUGUUGGUGGGGUAGUGGCUUACCAAGGCUUUGACGGGUAGCCGGCCUGAGAGGGUGACCGGCCACAUUGGGACUGAGAUACGGCCCAGACUCCUACGGGAGGCAGCAGUGGGGAAUAUUGCACAAUGGGCGGAAGCCUGAUGCAGCAACGCCGCGUGCGGGAUGACGGCCUUCGGGUUGUAAACCGCUUUCGCCUGUGACGAAGCGUGAGUGACGGUAAUGGGUAAAGAAGCACCGGCUAACUACGUGCCAGCAGCCGCGGUGAUACGUAGGGUGCGAGCGUUGUCCGGAUUUAUUGGGCGUAAAGGGCUCGUAGGUGGUUGAUCGCGUCGGAAGUGUAAUCUUGGGGCUUAACCCUGAGCGUGCUUUCGAUACGGGUUGACUUGAGGAAGGUAGGGGAGAAUGGAAUUCCUGGUGGAGCGGUGGAAUGCGCAGAUAUCAGGAGGGACACCAGUGGCGAAGGCGGUUCUCUGGGCCUUUCCUGACGCUGAGGAGCGAAAGCGUGGGGAGCGAACAGGCUUAGAUACCCUGGUAGUCCACGCUGUAAACGGUGGGUACUAGGUGUGGGGUCCAUUCCACGGGUUCCGUGCCGUAGCUAACGCUUUAAGUACCCCGCCUGGGGAGUACGGCCGCAAGGCUAAAACUCAAAGGAAUUGACGGGGCCCCGCACAAGCGGCGGAGCAUGCGGAUUAAUUCGAUGCAACGCGUAGAACCUUACCUGGGUUUGACAUGGAUCGGGAGCGCUCAGAGAUGGGUGUGCCUCUUUUGGGGUCGGUUCACAGGUGGUGCAUGGCUGUCGUCAGCUCGUGUCGUGAGAUGUUGGGUUAAGUCCCGCAACGAGCGCAACCCUUGUUCACUGUUGCCAGCACGUUAUGGUGGGGACUCAGUGGAGACCGCCGGGGUCAACUCGGAGGAAGGUGGGGAUGACGUCAAGUCAUCAUGCCCCUUAUGUCCAGGGCUUCACGCAUGCUACAAUGGCUGGUACAGAGAGUGGCGAGCCUGUGAGGGUGAGCGAAUCUCGGAAAGCCGGUCUCAGUUCGGAUUGGGGUCUGCAACUCGACCUCAUGAAGUCGGAGUCGCUAGUAAUCGCAGAUCAGCAACGCUGCGGUGAAUACGUUCCCGGG
RNAcentral lists this ribosomal RNA (1343 nucleotides) under uncultured bacterium. RNAcentral describes it as "16S ribosomal RNA". It matches the Rfam family "Bacterial small subunit ribosomal RNA", at positions 28 to 1378 of the family's 1533-position model. The record is from RNAcentral.